CUGAUGGAUGGACCCGCGGUGCAUUAGCUAGUUGGUGAGGUAACGGCUCACCAAGGCCACGAUGCAUAGCCGACCUGAGAGGGUGAUCGGCCACAUUGGGACUGAGACACGGCCCAAACUCCUACGGGAGGCAGCAGUAGGGAAUCUUCGGCAAUGGACGAAAGUCUGACCGAGCAACGCCGCGUGAGUGAAGAAGGUUUUCGGAUCGUAAAACUCUGUUGUUAGAGAAGAACAAGGAUGAGAGUAACUGUUCAUCCCUUGACGGUAUCUAACCAGAAAGCCACGGCUAACUACGUGCCAGCAGCCGCGGUAAUACGUAGGUGGCAAGCGUUGUCCGGAUUUAUUGGGCGUAAAGCGAGCGCAGGCGGUUUCUUAAGUCUGAUGUGAAAGCCCCCGGCUCAACCGGGGAGGGUCAUUGGAAACUGGGAGACUUGAGUGCAGAAGAGGAGAGUGGAAUUCCAUGUGUAGCGGUGAAAUGCGUAGAUAUAUGGAGGAACACCAGUGGCGAAGGCGGCUCUCUGGUCUGUAACUGACGCUGAGGCUCGAAAGCGUGGGGAGCAAACAGGAUUAGAUACCCUGGUAGUCCACGCCGUAAACGAUGAGUGCUAAGUGUUGGAGGGUUUCCGCCCUUCAGUGCUGCAGCUAACGCAUUAAGCACUCCGCCUGGGGAGUACGACCGCAAGGUUGAAACUCAAAGGAAUUGACGGGGGCCCGCACAAGCGGUGGAGCAUGUGGUUUAAUUCGAAGCAACGCGAAGAACCUUACCAGGUCUUGACAUCCUUUGACCACUCUAGAGAUAGAGCUUCCCCUUCGGGGGCAAAGUGACAGGUGGUGCAUGGUUGUCGUCAGCUCGUGUCGUGAGAUGUUGGGUUAAGUCCCGCAACGAGCGCAACCCUUAUUGUUAGUUGCCAUCAUUCAGUUGGGCACUCUAGCAAGACUGCCGGUGACAAACCGGAGGAAGGUGGGGAUGACGUCAAAUCAUCAUGCCCCUUAUGACCUGGGCUACACACGUGCUACAAUGGGAAGUACAACGAGUUGCGAAGUCGCGAGGCUAAGCUAAUCUCUUAAAGCUUCUCUCAGUUCGGAUUGCAGGCUGCAACUCGCCUGCAUGAAGCCGGAAUCGCUAGUAAUCGCGGAUCAGCACGCCGCGGUGAAUACGUUCCCGGGCCUUGUACACACCGCCCGUCACACCACGAGAGUUUGUAACACCCGAAGUCGGUGAGGUAACCUUUUGGAGCCAGCCGCCUAAGGUGGGAUAGAUGAUUGGGGUGAAGUCGUAACAAGGUAGCCGUAUCGGAAGGUGCGGCUGGAUCACCU
Molecule: ribosomal RNA, 1317 nt
Filed under: Enterococcus faecium EnGen0188
Lineage: Bacteria; Bacillati; Bacillota; Bacilli; Lactobacillales; Enterococcaceae
Description: bacterial SSU rRNA
Rfam family: Bacterial small subunit ribosomal RNA
Source: RNAcentral